RNAcentral lists this small RNA (25 nucleotides) under Arabidopsis thaliana (thale cress). RNAcentral's name for it is "ATSL134590". Lineage: Eukaryota; Viridiplantae; Streptophyta; Magnoliopsida; Brassicales; Brassicaceae. The record is from RNAcentral.
UCUUGGACAAAGAGAAGCUGAAGGU